This 253-nucleotide ribosomal RNA is filed under the name uncultured bacterium. RNAcentral describes it as "partial 16S ribosomal RNA". It matches the Rfam family "Bacterial small subunit ribosomal RNA", at positions 524 to 776 of the family's 1533-position model. The record is from RNAcentral.
UACGUAGGGGGCAAGCGUUGUCCGGAAUCAUUGGGCGUAAAGAGCGUGUAGGCGGCCCGGUAAGUCCGCUGUGAAAGUCGGGGGCUCAACCCUCGAAUGCCGGUGGAUACUGUCGGGCUAGAGUGCGGAAGAGGCGAGUGGAAUUCCUGGUGUAGCGGUGAAAUGCGCAGAUAUCAGGAGGAACACCGAUUGCGAAGGCAGCUCGCUGGGACGUAACUGACGCUGAGACGCGAAAGCCAGGGGAGCAAACGGG